This 473-nucleotide ribosomal RNA is filed under the name uncultured organism. RNAcentral describes it as "partial 16S ribosomal RNA". It matches the Rfam family "Bacterial small subunit ribosomal RNA", at positions 335 to 799 of the family's 1533-position model. The record is from RNAcentral.
ACUCCUGCGGGAGGCAGCAGUGGGGAAUUUUGGACAAUGGGCGCAAGCCUGAUCCAGCCAUGCCGCGUGCGGGAAGAAGGCCUUCGGGUUGUAAACCGCUUUUGUCAGGGAAGAAAAGGUUCUGGCUAAUACCUGGGACUCAUGACGGUACCUGAAGAAUAAGCACCGGCUAACUACGUGCCAGCAGCCGCGGUAAUACGUAGGGUGCAAGCGUUAAUCGGAAUUACUGGGCGUAAAGCGUGCGCAGGCGGUUAUGCAAGACAGAGGUGAAAUCCCCGGGCUCAACCUGGGAACUGCCUUUGUGACUGCAUGGCUAGAGUACGGUAGAGGGGGAUGGAAUUCCGCGUGUAGCAGUGAAAUGCGUAGAUAUGCGGAGGAACACCGAUGGCGAAGGCAAUCCCCUGGACCUGUACUGACGCUCAUGCACGAAAGCGUGGGGAGCAAACAGGAUUAGAUACCCCAGUAGUCCCAUG